RNAcentral lists this long non-coding RNA (700 nucleotides) under Marmota monax (woodchuck). The record is from RNAcentral. Lineage: Eukaryota; Metazoa; Chordata; Mammalia; Rodentia; Sciuridae.
GAGGGACAGGGAGAAGGGAGGUCAGCAUGGUGGCAGCACUUGGCCUGCUCUCAGAAAACAUUCAGGGUGAGGGUUUCAUUCUGGGAAACAUUUAUCACAUCUAGUCAGCAUGGCCUAGAGAGGACCAGCCUUGACGACAUCCUAAGAUCCCAGCCAAUCUUAAAAUAAUGCAGGAAACCCAGGGUUUGGGGCAAGCCCGUGCGUCCCCAGUAGCUUCCUACAUCUGACCAUUCCACGCCUUCCACCAUCAGAAAACCCACCCUGCAGCACCUCUGUGUAUGGAAGCCACGGCCUUGCAGAGCCAAGGAUGUGGGAGAAGCCGACCCCCUGUGCACGCGCCGCACUGGGGUUUUUUCUUCUGAAUACUAAUGUGUAAUUCUUGCAGGAACAGGCCCACGUGCCCCUUCCUAUGUGGUGGCCUGAAAAUAAUCUACAAUAUUGCAUCAACACUCACGUAAUGAAGAAGGUCCGCGUGCCUGUGCCACUUCCACGCACUCGCCGGGCUUCGAUAUUAGGAAGAAGCACAGGACGGCAGCACUCGUGCCUUGUCAGUCAUUUAAUUAAGCAAAGCAAGCCUGCUAUUCAUUUUAUUUCUGUAUAUGUUAAUGUUAAAAACUAAUAGAAAACAGCAAGUAAAUUGUCCCCUGCAUAUAUUGGACACAGCAACAAUUACUUUGACAGCGAAGAUAUAAUAAAAGAG